CCCUUAGAUGUUCUGGGCCGCACGCGCGCUACACUGAUGCAUUCAACGAGUCUAAAACCUGGUCUGAUAGGGCUGGGUAAUCUUUUGAAAGUGCAUCGUGAUUGGGAUAGAUGAUUGCAAUUCUUCAUCUUCAACGAGGAAUGCCUAGUAAACGCAAGUCAUCAGCUUGCAUUGAUUACGUCCCUGUCCUUUGUACACACCGCCCGUCGCUCCUACCGAUUGAAUGAUCCGAUGAAUACCAUGGAUUGAGAGUACGAAUGGGUUCGCUCAUUUCUGCUGCUCGAGAAGUGGAGUAAAUCUUAUCAUUUAGAGGAAGGAGAAGUCGUAACA
Molecule: ribosomal RNA, 330 nt
Filed under: uncultured eukaryote
Lineage: Eukaryota
Description: partial 18S ribosomal RNA
Rfam family: Eukaryotic small subunit ribosomal RNA
Source: RNAcentral